Molecule: ribosomal RNA, 457 nt
Filed under: uncultured bacterium
Lineage: Bacteria
Description: SSU rRNA
Rfam family: Bacterial small subunit ribosomal RNA
Source: RNAcentral
AGAGCGAACGCUGGCGGCAGGCCUAAUACAUGCAAGUCGAACGAAGCCUUCGGGCUUAGUGGCGGACGGGUGAGUAACACGUGGGAACGUACCCUUUGGUUCGGAACAACUCAGGGAAACUUGAGCUAAUACCGAAUGUGCCCCCAUCCUUAAAAAAGAUGGGUGGGAAAGAUUUAUCGCCAUUGGAGCGGCCCGCGUCUGAUUAGCUAGUUGGUGAGGUAAAGGCCCACAAGGCUACGAUCAGUAGCUGGUCUGAGAGGAUGAUCAGCCACACUGGGACUGAGACACGGCCCAGACUCCUACGGGAGGCAGCAGUAGGGAAUCUUGCGCAAUGGGCAAAGCCUAACGCAGCCAUGCCGCGUGAAUGAUGAAGGUCUUAGGAUUGUAAAAUUCUUUCAGCGGGACGAUAAUGACGGUACCGCAGAAGACGCCCGGCUAACUUCGCGCCAGCAGCCGC